GGGGUGAGCGUAUCGGGAUUCUGGGGCGUAAGCGCGCGUAGGUGGCUUGAUAAGCCGGUUGUGAAAGCCCCGGGCUCAACCUGGGAACGGCAUCCGGAACUGUCAAGCUAGAGUGCAGGAGAGGAAGGUAGAAUUCCCGGUGUAGCGGUGAAAUGCGUAGAGAUCGGGAGGAAUACCAGUGGCGAAGGCGGCCUUCUGGACUGACACUGACACUGAGGUGCGAAAGCGUGGGUAGCAAACAGGAUUAGAUACCCUGGUAGUCCACGCCGUAAACGAUGUCGACCAGCCGUUGGGUGCCUAGCGCACUUUGUGGCGAAGUUAACGCGAUAAGUCGACCGCCUGGGGAGUACGGCCGCAAGGUUAAAACUCAAAUGAAUUGACGGGGGCCCGCACAAGCGGUGGAGCAUGUGGUUUAAUUCGAUGCAACGCGAAGAACCUUACCUACUCUUGACAUCCUGCGAACUUGUGAGAGAUACCUUAGUGCCUUCGGGAACGCAGAGACAGGUGCUGCAUGGCUGUCGUCAGCUCGUGUUGUGAAAUGUUGGGUUAAGUCCCGUAACGAGCGCAACCCUUGUCCUUAUUUGCCAGCGCGUAAUGGCGGGAACUCUAAGGAGACUGCCGGUGACAAACCGGAGGAAGGUGGGGACGACGUCAAGUCAUCAUGGCCCUUACGAGUAGGGCUACACACGUGCUACAAUGGUCGGUACAAAGGGUUGCCAACUCGCGAGAGUGAGCCAAUCCCGAAAAGCCGAUCUCAGUCCGGAUCGGAGUCUGCAACUCGACUCCGUGAAGUCGGAAUCGCUAGUAAUCGUGGAUCAGAAUGCCACGGUGAAUACGUUCCCGGGCCUUGUACACACCGCCCGUCACACCAUGGGGAGUGGACUGCACCCAGAAGUGGUUAGCCUAACGCAAGAGGGCGAUCACCACGGUGUGGUCAUGACGGGUGAUCAAAAAAAAACCGCGGGGAAAAAAAAAAAAAAAAAAGGGGGGAAAAACAGC
RNAcentral lists this ribosomal RNA (999 nucleotides) under Vreelandella aquamarina. RNAcentral's name for it is "bacterial SSU rRNA". It matches the Rfam family "Bacterial small subunit ribosomal RNA", at positions 531 to 1533 of the family's 1533-position model. The record is from RNAcentral. Lineage: Bacteria; Pseudomonadati; Pseudomonadota; Gammaproteobacteria; Oceanospirillales; Halomonadaceae.